CUACUUCAGUAUGAAGUAGGCCAUCAGGGAGGUGGUUUUCCCUAGGCAAGGCCUAUCCCCUGCACUCUGGGUGUGCUGACCCUUGUGAAUUCCCCAAAUGUGGGAAAUAAGACUGCAUAAUUUGUGGUAGUGGGGGACUGCAUUUGUGCUCCUCCCUG
This 158-nucleotide small nuclear RNA is filed under the name Eurypyga helias (sunbittern). Its description in RNAcentral is "U1 spliceosomal RNA". It matches the Rfam family "U1 spliceosomal RNA". Rfam says of the family: U1 is a small nuclear RNA (snRNA) component of the spliceosome (involved in pre-mRNA splicing). Its 5' end forms complementary base pairs with the 5' splice junction, thus defining the 5' donor site of an intron. The record is from Rfam by way of RNAcentral. Lineage: Eukaryota; Metazoa; Chordata; Aves; Eurypygiformes; Eurypygidae.